This 388-nucleotide ribosomal RNA is filed under the name uncultured soil bacterium. RNAcentral's name for it is "bacterial SSU rRNA". It matches the Rfam family "Bacterial small subunit ribosomal RNA", at positions 26 to 412 of the family's 1533-position model. The record is from RNAcentral.
AGAUUGAACGCUGGCGGCAUGCUUUACACAUGCAAGUCGAACGGUAACGCGGGGGCAACCCUGGCGACGAGUGGCGAACGGGUGAGUAAUACAUCGGAACAUGUCCUGGAGUGGGGGGAUAGCUCGGCGAAAGCCGGAUUAAUACCGCAUACGCUCUGAGGAGGAAAGCGGGGGACUCGUAAGGGCCUCGCGCUGCAGGAGUGGCCGAUGUCGGAUUAGCUAGUUGUGAGGUAAGGCUCACCAAGGCGACGAUCCGUAGCUGGUCUGAGAGGAUGAUCAGCCACACUGGGACUGGGACACGGCCCAGACUCCUACGGGAGGCAGCAGUAGGGAAUUUGGACAAGUGGGGGCAACCCGUGAUCCAGCCAGUGCCGCGUGAGGUGAAGAA